CCUGACCCAAAGGAUGUGACAUUCCAGUUGUCUGAAACCGCAGAAAGCUCAGACACUGAAGAUGAAGGAGACAAGAUGUUGCAACCACGAGGGCUUUCAAAAUCUCGUGGGCAUCAAACACCAAAUCCAGAUGAGCGAUUUUUCCUGGUGGCAGAAUCCAG
Molecule: long non-coding RNA, 161 nt
Organism: Ornithodoros turicata
Lineage: Eukaryota; Metazoa; Arthropoda; Arachnida; Ixodida; Argasidae
Exons: 3
Source: RefSeq, a predicted model, not a curated record